UUUGUCUCACUCGCUAUACGUUGUUGGUUGGUCAUUGUCUGAAUUCUUCACUCGCUUACUCAUAUUUCUGAGAAUCUCAGGACAAUGGAGAAUGAAUUGUACUUGGAUGGUGAGGAUUGCCUUUUUCAUCGUGAUCAUCUCGGCAGAAGCUUCCAUUCACGAGUACAAGAACCAAAGCUUCACUUCGGAACUAAAUGGUCG
RNAcentral lists this long non-coding RNA (201 nucleotides) under Brassica rapa (field mustard). Its description in RNAcentral is "long non-coding RNA (BRAP_LNC005377)". Lineage: Eukaryota; Viridiplantae; Streptophyta; Magnoliopsida; Brassicales; Brassicaceae. The record is from RNAcentral.